ACUGCCAAGGACUGGAGGAGCAGGGAGCACACAGCUGCAGACCUGACUGCCACUCUCUGUAGAAAGGGAAAUGUAUCUCAGCUUCUAAUUUCCAUCUGUCUUCUACUUUUCCCUCAUGCAGGACGGGAUGUGCUGUUUGUCAGGAGCUUCCAGGGACCUGCACAAACACAGAGAAGGAGAAGCUGUGGCAGAGAGGGAGUGGAAUGGGAAAUGACAGCGGGAAGGACAAGGAUAGUGAGCUUGCACAAGCUGAACAUCAGGUUUUUUGCAUGUUCAAUAGGAAUUUGGCAGAUUUCAAACCAAAAUGAUGGCAGUGUCUACCUUUCCACAAUAUCUUUCCUGCUUCUCCAUUAA
This is a long non-coding RNA of Parus major (Great Tit), 354 nucleotides long. NCBI's taxonomy places the organism in Eukaryota, Metazoa, Chordata, Aves, Passeriformes, Paridae. The record is from Ensembl.